This is a long non-coding RNA of Apis mellifera (honey bee), 1211 nucleotides long. RefSeq lists it as uncharacterized. Lineage: Eukaryota; Metazoa; Arthropoda; Insecta; Hymenoptera; Apidae. The transcript is spliced from 2 exons. The record is from RefSeq and is a predicted model, not a curated record.
CCUCCUAAUAAGCUCUAUGGGACGUUAGCUCGCGAAAACGCGUGGCCGUCUUCGUCGUCGCGCUACCACCGAGCCGCUACGAUCCUUAAAGCAUCGUAGCGACGAUCGACGCAGGACUACUGUGAAAUUCAUUCCGAGAGGAUUUUAGGGAGGAGGAACGAUUUUGGAUUCGUGGUGGAGAAGGGAUGAGAUGAGGUGGAAGAAUUUGAAAAGAAGUUGCAAGAAUAAGAAGAUUUGCUCCUAAAACGUGUAUGUAUGUAUGUUUUGAUGAGGAGAAAAGAGUGUGGAAGGAUCAGUUUUGGGAUUAAGGAGAAAGGUUUGUGAGAUUUGAAAAAAGUAACUUUAAAGGAAAUUGUAAUGAAUUGUAAUUUUUUAACAAUUUGAAAUUUGAUAAUUUUACUUAGUUAAUAGUUAUUUAUAAAAAUAUUCGCAGCAUAUAAUUUCAAUGUGUAUACGUAACAGAUAUAUUCAUUCUUUCUGGGUGAGUAAGUGUAUGUCGCUUAAUGUUUAAAUUCUAAACAAGUGAAUACAAGUGAAAUAGGUGGACGAUUGUGUCACGAUUAAUAAUGAUUCCAUGUAAAAGAUAUAAUUUAUCAUACAUUUUUUUUUUUUUGUAUUAAACUAAACGUGCGUUAUCGUAAAUUAUACCGUAUAAAGAAGAAGACGAUACAUUGGAAUUACAUAAGAAUUUAAGUUAAAUGAUCCUUUGCACAUCUGCAAUUGGUUUAUAUUAAAAUUUCGUUAUUUUAAUAUAAAAAAAAAAAAAAGAAAAAAGUAUAAGAAGAAUAUCGAAACUAUGAAUUCUUUGACUCAUUCAACGUUCGAUGAAAAGAAAACAAUGCGAGACGAUGUUUAUUUUUUAUCUUCUAAAAAAAAUAUAAAGGAAUUCAGAGCCAAAUAUAAUUUUUUUUUUUUUUUUUCUUAGAAGAAAGUGUUAAUGGAUGAAGUUGAAAAAUACAUACAGUUUUCAUACGCGAAGAUCGUUUCAAUAAAAACGAUUAGCACAAAUGCAUUCGUAUGACUAUAAUUGUUCGCGUAAAUAUUCAAAUCUAUGCCAUGAAUAUUAAAUUAUUCAUGACUCAAUAAAAACCGUGUGGGCUCCGAGCGUUUCGAUUUAUUAUUUUUCCAUGAUCUACGGAUCUUUUCCUUUGCGAUGAUGUAAUUAACUUGAUGUAAGUAGCUAAGCACAAAUAUCAAUUCACAUUCGUAAA